GACGAACGCUGGCGGCGUGCUUAACACAUGCAAGUCGAACGAAGAGCGACGGAAGCUUGCUUCUAUCAAUCUUAGUGGCGAACGGGUGAGUAACGCGUAAUCAACCUGCCCUUAAGAGGGGGACAACAGUUGGAAACGACUGCUAAUACCGCAUACGAUCUAAUCUCGGCAUCGAGGAUGGAUGAAAGGUGGCCUCUACAUGUAAGCUAUCACUGAAGGAGGGGAUUGCGUCUGAUUAGCUAGUUGGAGGGGUAACGGCCCACCAAGGCGAUGAUCAGUAGCCGGUCUGAGAGGAUGAACGGCCACAUUGGGACUGAGACACGGCCCAGACUCCUACGGGAGGCAGCAGUGGGGAAUCUUCCGCAAUGGACGAAAGUCUGACGGAGCAACGCCGCGGGAGUGAUGACGGCCGUCGGGUUGUAAAGCUCUGUUAAUCGGGACGAAAGGCCUUCUUGCGAAUAGUGAGAAGGAUUGACGGUACCGGAAUAGAAAGCCACGGCUAACUACGUG
This 510-nucleotide ribosomal RNA is filed under the name uncultured bacterium. RNAcentral describes it as "partial 16S ribosomal RNA". It matches the Rfam family "Bacterial small subunit ribosomal RNA", at positions 28 to 507 of the family's 1533-position model. The record is from RNAcentral.